GACGAACGCUGGCGGCGUGCUUAACACAUGCAAGUCGAACGGAAAGGCCCUGCUUGCAGGGUAUUCGAGUGGCGAACGGGUGAGUAACACGUGGGUGAUCUGCCCUGCACUUCGGGAUAAGCCUGGGAAACUGGGUCUAAUACCGGAUAGGAGCCAUUUUUAGUGUGAUGGUUGGAAAGUUUUUUCGGUGUAGGAUGAGCUCGCGGCCUAUCAGCUUGUUGGUGGGGUAAUGGCCUACCAAGGCGGCGACGGGUAGCCGGCCUGAGAGGGUGGACGGCCACAUUGGGACUGAGAUACGGCCCAGACUCCUACGGGAGGCAGCAGUGGGGAAUAUUGCACAAUGGGCGCAAGCCUGAUGCAGCGACGCCGCGUGGGGGAUGACGGCCUUCGGGUUGUAAACUCCUUUCGCUAGGGACGAAGCUUUUUGUGACGGUACCUAGAUAAGAAGCACCGGCUAACUACGUG
RNAcentral lists this ribosomal RNA (465 nucleotides) under uncultured bacterium. Its description in RNAcentral is "partial 16S ribosomal RNA". It matches the Rfam family "Bacterial small subunit ribosomal RNA", at positions 28 to 507 of the family's 1533-position model. The record is from RNAcentral.